CUGCUGUCACAUCGUUAGCUGUGCAUUUCUAAUAUGCAAUAUGUCUCUUCGCUUUAAUCCUUGUGAUUUUCCACUGGAUUCUUUUGAGUUUUGAUUCUGAGGUUCUUUUUUUUUUUUUUUUUUUUUUUAUGAGACAAAAUCUCGCUCUGUCACCCAGGCUGGAGUACACUGGCUCACUGCAACCUCCGCCUCCUGGCAAUUCUCAUGCCUCAGCCACCUGAGUAGCUGGGAUUACAGGCACGCACCAUCAUGCCUGGUUAAUUUUUGUAUUUUUAGUGGAGAGGGGGUUUGGCCAUUUUGGCCAGGCUGGUCUCAAACCCCUGGCCUCAAGUGAUCCCCACCCCACCCCCUCUGCACCGCCUCCGCCUCCCAAAGUGCUGAGAUUAUGGGCGUGAGCCAUCACAUCCGGCCUGAUUCUGAGGUUCUUAAUUAAGAAACAGAAAUCACGUCAGCUGAUGUGAGGCUUACGGAAAUUGGAUACUUUAGAGAGCCUCAAAGCUAACGUGAGACAGCAUCUUGGUUCUGCAAGGACGUGUCCUUCAACCCAACGCCCCCCACCCCCACCCAACCCCAAGCAAAUAUCCUGUUGAAGUCUCCGUGAACAAACAUCUAUCAACAGAAAAGCGAUAUGGAAUACAGGGCAUUGGCAGGCAGAGAUGUACCCUGUGGCUUGGGCUUUCUCUGCAAGGCCAGUGGGGAUGAAACCAAUAACAAAGACCCUGACUUUGCUUAAUGACCAAGACUCACUUAGAUAACAAACCGGCGCUGCUGUUGGCAGAGAGCCUUCUAGAUGCUCAGUACAGUGUGGCCUGUUAAAGUGGGAAGGAGGACUUGAAGGAAAGAGCUGUUUAAGUCAUAUUUUCUUACAGCCAAAGGAGAUUAUCUUCUCUUGGUUUGGACGGAUCAUUAUUUGUUACUGUUUAUUAUUAAUCGUGAUUUCCUGAGAACUUUUAUGUUCCGGAUACCGAAUCACAUACUUUAUAUUCACUCACUACAAUCCUGCAAAACUUUGUUGUUGAUUUUCUUUUUUUAAUAAAAGAGAAAACUCGGCCGGGCGCGGUGACUCACGCCUGUAAUCCCAGCACUUUGGGAGGCUGAGGCGGGUGGAUCACCAGGUCAAGAGUUCAAGACCAGCCUGGCCAAGAUGCUGAAACCCCGUCUCUACUAAAAAUACAAAAAAAAUAGCUGGGCGUGGUGGCGGGCGCCUGUAAUCCCAGCCACUCGGGAGGCUGAGGCAGAGAAUUGCUUGAACCCGGGAGGCAGAGGUUGCAGUGAGCCGAGAUCACGCCACUGCACUCCAGCCUGGGUGACAGAGCGAGACUCGUCUAAAAAAAAUAAAAUAAAGUAAAAUAAAAUAAAAGAGAAAACUGAGUUUCACAGAGGUUAAGUAAUUUGUCCAACGUUAUUACACAGCUUAUAAAUAGUACACCCGAAAUCCAAUCUUGGUAUGGCUAUAAAAUAACUUUUACUCUUUCCAUGAGGAACGUAUAGCUUAUGCCUUAUACAUUUCAAAUUGAAGGUGCCAGGUGGCUGUGGCUUAGAACAGGUGAGUUGGCCAUGGGAAAACAAAGUAAAUUAAUAAUUCACAUACGCUAUAAUAUCUGCUCUGAGUUUUUUUUUUUGUUGUUUGUUUGUUUUUUUUUUUUUGAGACGGAGUCUCGCUGUGUCGCCCAGGCUGGAGUGCAGUGGGGCGAUCUCGGCUCACUGCAAACUCCGCCUCCCGGUUUCACGCCGUUCUCCUGCCCUCAGCCUCCCGAGUAGGUGGGACUACAGGCGCCCGCCACCACGCUCGGCUACUUUUUUGUAUUUUUAGUAGAGACGGGGUUUCACUGUGUUAGCCAGGAUGGUCUCGAUCCUCUGAUCUCGUGAUCUGCCCGCCUCGGCCUCCCAAAGUGCUGGGAUUACAGGCGUGAACCACCGCGCCCGGCCAGAGCGUGGAGAUUCC
This 1945-nucleotide long non-coding RNA is filed under the name Homo sapiens (human). RNAcentral describes it as "HSALNT0327058". Lineage: Eukaryota; Metazoa; Chordata; Mammalia; Primates; Hominidae. The record is from RNAcentral.